RNAcentral lists this ribosomal RNA (292 nucleotides) under uncultured bacterium. RNAcentral describes it as "partial 16S ribosomal RNA". The record is from RNAcentral.
GGACUACCGGGGUUUCUAAUCCUGUUUGCUCCCCACGCUUUCGCGCCUCAACGUCAGGUGUAGGCUAGAAAACCGCCUUCGCCACCGGUGUUCUUCCACAUAUCUACGCAUUUCACCGCUACAUGUGGAAUUCCGUUUUCCCCGCCUAACCUCCAGUUUGGAAGUUUCAGAUGCUGCUCCGAGGUUGAGCCCCGGAAUUUCACUUCUGACUUUCCAAACCGUCUACGCGCCCUUUACGCCCAAUAAAUCCGAUUAAUGCUUGCACCCUCCGUAUUACCGCGGCUGCUGGCAC